GAGAGGGAGAGAGACAGAGGGAGAGAGAGAGAGAGAGAGAGAGAGAGAGAAGGAGAUAGAAGGAGAGAGAGAGAGAGAGAGAGAAGGAGAGAGAAGGAGAGAGAGAGAGAGGGAGAGAGAGACAGAGAAGAAGAAGAAGGAGAGAGAAGGAGAAAGAAGGAGAGAGAGAGAAAUAUGGCUGUUUUUCCUGUUUAACAAUCCCUACUCUAAACAAUUCCAGGAGGAAAGUGUGAGUCUCCAAGGUGGAUUUUGGACACAGAUUUAUGCCCCUAUCCCAGCCAGGGACAAUCACCCAACCAUCAUAUUCACUAAUAUGCUGCACCAAGGCAGAGAGAAAUUUGCAUUAUAAUUGUAAAGCCAAAUUCAAACCACUCAUACAUGUUCCAUACAUAACUACAAUUACAAGAGUAUGUGUACAACUGGGGCAGAAUAUUUAAGUGUGAUCUGUAUGCUGAUUGGAAUACAUGCUAUUGUCUUAGAGGACAAUAAUAUACACAGAUGUUUGAUUUUAUGGUUACUGCAUAUAGUAUGUCCCCAACAGUACAUGUGGAGGAAGCAUAUCUGAACUACAGGUAUUGGGAGGAAGACAAAAUCCUCAACAGCUUCUUUGACCAAAAUGGAAACAUAUUGUUAAGAUGGUCUGUAAUAAGGAGAGCAAAUCUGUAUGGCAACACAUCCUGUCUGGACUUUACCCGGGCAGUGGCACACUAUCUCUGUGACAUGUGUUAUGUAGUUUGGGGUAUAGGAGAAAUCAAUUAGAAACUCAAUGCAUACAUACAAGUGUUGUUGAAUAUGAAAUAUAUACAGUUGAAGUAGGGAAGUUUACAUACACUUAGGUUGGAGUCAUUAAAACUUGUUUUUCAACCACUCCACACAUUUCUUGUUAACAAACUAUAGUUUUGGCAAGUUGGUUAGGACAUCUACUUUGUGCAUGAAACAAGUAAUUUUUUCAACAAAUGUUUACAGAAAGAUUAUUUCACUUAUAAUUCACUGUAUCACAAUUCCAGUGGGUCAGAAGUUUACAUACAAUAAGUUGACUGUGCCUUUAAACAGCUUGGAAAAUUCCCAAAAAUUAUGUCAUGGCUUUAGAAGCUUCUGAUAGGCUAAUUGACAUAAUUUGAGUCAAUUGGAGGUGUACCUGUGGAUGUAUUUCAAGACCUACCUUCAAACUCAGUGCCUCUGCUUGACGUCAUGGGAAAAUCAAAAGAAAUCAGCCAAGAACCCAGAAAAAAAUUGAAGACGUCCACAAGUCUGGUUCAUCCUUGGGAGCAAUUUCCAAACGCCUGAAGGUACCACGUUCAUCUGUACAAACAAUAGUACGCAAGUAUAAACACCAUGGGACCACGCAGCCUUCAUACCGCUCAGGAAGGAGACGCGUUCUGUCUUCUAGAGAUGAACGUACUUUGGUGCGAAAAGUUCAAAUCAAUCCCAGAACAACAGCAAAGGACCUUGUGAAGAUGCUGGAGGAAUAGAUGGAAUUAGAUGGUAUCAUGAGGCAGGAAAAUGAUGUGGAUAUAUUGAAGCAACAUCUCAAGACAUCAGUCAGGAAGUUAAAGCUUGGUCACAAAUGGGGCUUCCAAAUGGACAAUGACCCCAAGCAUACUUCCAAAGUUGUGGCAAAGUGGCGUAAGGACAGACAAAGUCAAGGUAUUGGAGUGGCCAUCACAAAGCCCUGACCUCAAUACCAUAGAAAGUUUGUGGGCAGAACUUAAAAAGCGUGUGUGAGCAAGGAGGCCUACAAACCUGAUUCAGUUACACCAGCUCUGUCAGGAGGAAUGGGCCAAAAUUCACCCAACUUAUUGUGGGAAGCUUGUGGAAGUUAAACAAUUUAAAGGCAAUGCUAUCAAAUACUAAUGGAGUAUGUAAACUUCUGACCCACUGGGAAUGUGAUGAAAGAAAUAAAAGCUGAAAUAAAUCAUUCUCUCUAUGAUUAUUCUAACAUUUCACAUUCUUAAAAUAAAGUGGUGAUCCUAACGGACCUAAAACAAGGAUUAUUUUACUGGAAUUAAAUGUCAGGAAUUGUGAAAAACUGAGUUUAAAUGUAUUUGGCUAAGGUGUAUGUAAACUUCUGACUUCAACUGUAAUUACAUAAAGAUAAAGGUAGGGUUGAAGCCGCCCUUUGUAAAACAUGUUUCUCAAGAAAUAAAUCACAUCAUCACAUAAAAGCAGGUCUGGUUGAGCAAGCAAAAAUUAAUAGCAUCUGGGGAUGUUACAGCAGUAUGAUGGUAUAGGAGUAGGAUGUUAUAGGGCCAGGUGUUGUAGGAGUAGGAUGUUAUAGGAGUAGGGUAUUAUAGGAGUAGGAUGUUAUAGGGCCAGGUGUUAUAGGAGUAGGAUGUUAUAGGGCCAGGUGUUAUAGGGCCAGGUAUUAUAGGGCCAGGUGUUAUAGGAGUAGGGUGUUAUAGGGCCAGGUGUUAUACGGCCAGGUGUUAUAGGAGUAGGGUGUUAUAGGGAGUAGGGUGUUAUAGGGCCAGGUGUUAUAGGGCCAGGUGUUAUAGGAUUAGGAUGUUAUAG
This is a long non-coding RNA of Oncorhynchus tshawytscha (Chinook salmon), 2511 nucleotides long. The record is from Ensembl. NCBI's taxonomy places the organism in Eukaryota, Metazoa, Chordata, Actinopteri, Salmoniformes, Salmonidae.